GUGAAUCAUCAAAUUUUUGAACGCAAAUCGCACUCUCUUCGGAGAGUAUGCCUGUUUGAGGGUCAGCCUAAAAAAAAUCGACAUAGUUGCUGUUACGCGUUAACUUUCUUGGGAAAUGGGGUCAUCUUAAACCUUUGGUUUUAGGCGGCUUAAAUUUUUUUUAACGAUUCAAAGAAGGUUCCUAGAUUUUUAUUUUCUUAUACGUUUAGGU
RNAcentral lists this unclassified non-coding RNA (211 nucleotides) under Glomus sp. RNAcentral describes it as "partial contains 5.8S ribosomal RNA and internal transcribed spacer 2". The stretch from base 1 to 65 matches the Rfam family "5.8S ribosomal RNA", at positions 84 to 154 of the family's 154-position model. Lineage: Eukaryota; Fungi; Glomeromycota; Glomeromycetes; Glomerales; Glomeraceae. The record is from RNAcentral.